UACAGAGGUCCCGAGCGUUGUUCGGAUUCACUGGGCGUAAAGCGCUCGUAGGCGGUCUGUCGCGUCGGAUGUGAAAACACGGGGCUCAACCCCGUGCCUGCAUUCGAUACGGGCAGACUAGAGUUCGGUAGGGGAGACUGGAAUUCCUGGUGUAGCGGUGAAAUGCGCAGAUAUCAGGAGGAACACCGGUGGCGAAGGCGGGUCUCGGGGCAGUAACUGACGCUGAGGAGCGAAAGCGUGGGGAGCGAACAGG
Molecule: ribosomal RNA, 253 nt
Filed under: uncultured bacterium
Lineage: Bacteria
Description: partial 16S ribosomal RNA
Rfam family: Bacterial small subunit ribosomal RNA
Source: RNAcentral